AUUGAACGCUGGCGGCAGGCCUAACACAUGCAAGUCGAGCGGAUGAAGGGAGCUUGCUCCUGGAUUCAGCGGCGGACGGGUGAGUAAUGCCUAGGAAUCUGCCUGGUAGUGGGGGAUAACGUCCGGAAACGGGCGCUAAUACCGCAUACGUCCUGAGGGAGAAAGUGGGGGAUCUUCGGACCUCACGCUAUCAGAUGAGCCUAGGUCGGAUUAGCUAGUUGGUGGGGUAAAGGCCUACCAAGGCGACGAUCCGUAACUGGUCUGAGAGGAUGAUCAGUCACACUGGAACUGAGACACGGUCCAGACUCCUACGGGAGGCAGCAGUGGGGAAUAUUGGACAAUGGGCGAAAGCCUGAUCCAGCCAUGCCGCGUGUGUGAAGAAGGUCUUCGGAUUGUAAAGCACUUUAAGUUGGGAGGAAGGGCAGUAAGUUAAUACCUUGCUGUUUUGACGUGACCAACAGAAUAAGCACCGGCUAACUUCG
This 482-nucleotide ribosomal RNA is filed under the name uncultured bacterium. RNAcentral describes it as "partial 16S ribosomal RNA". It matches the Rfam family "Bacterial small subunit ribosomal RNA", at positions 30 to 505 of the family's 1533-position model. The record is from RNAcentral.